CUUGACAUGCCACUAAUCCUCUUGAAAGAGAGGGGUGCCUUUGGGAACGCGAACACAUGUGGUUCAUGGCUGUCGUCAGCUCGUGCCGUAAGGUGUUGGGUUAAGUCCCGUAACGAGUGCAACCCUUGUGUUUAUCCUCUUCUACGUGGUAGCACUAAACUUCUAAACACUCCCACCUUG
Molecule: ribosomal RNA, 180 nt
Organism: Nicotiana attenuata
Lineage: Eukaryota; Viridiplantae; Streptophyta; Magnoliopsida; Solanales; Solanaceae
Rfam family: Bacterial small subunit ribosomal RNA
Source: Rfam